CCGGAGGGGGUGGAGGCGGAAGUGCCGGCGCCGGGCCCCGGGAGUAGGAAGGAGCCGGGGUGCAGCCGGAGUGGAGUGGCUGCCAGCCGAGGAGCAGGCGCGGCCACGGCGCCAUAUUGAGGCCCUAAGCGGCCACGACCGAGUCAUGGCCGAGACCUACGACUUCCUCUUCAAAUUCCUGGUGAUCGGCAGUGCAGGAACUGGCAAAUCAUGUCUCCUUCAUCAGUUCAUUGAGAAUAAGUUUAAACAGGACUCCAACCACACCAUUGGCGUGGAGUUUGGAUCCCGGGUAGUCAACGUGGGUGGGAAGACUGUGAAGCUACAGAUUUGGGACACGGCCGGCCAGGAACGGUUUCGGUCGGUGACACGGAGUUAUUAUCGAGGGGCAGCUGGAGCCCUGCUGGUGUACGACAUCACCAGCCGGGAGACAUACAACUCGCUGGCUGCCUGGCUGACGGACGCCCGCACACUGGCCAGCCCCAACAUCGUGGUCAUCCUCUGUGGCAACAAGAAGGACCUGGAGCCUGAGCGCGAGGUCACUUUCCUGGAGGCCUCCCGCUUUGCCCAGGAGAAUGAGCUGAUGUUCCUGGAGACCAGUGCGCUCACAGGCGAGAACGUGGAGGAGGCCUUCCUGAAGUGCGCUCGGACCAUCCUGAAUAAGAUUGACUCAGGUGAGCUAGACCCCGAGAGGAUGGGCUCGGGCAUUCAGUAUGGUGAUGCCUCCCUUCGCCAGCUGCGGCAGCCUCGGAGUGCUCAGGCCGUGACUCCUCAGCCCUGUGGCUGCUGAGACCUACGGAACCAGGCAGGAGAUGCCAACAUAGUCUCAAGUGUCCACCUGAUCCAAGAAGCUCACUUCUCACCAGCAUCCCUCCGUAACCCAGUGCCCAGUCCAAUCCCUGUCUGAAGAGUUGGCUUUGGGAAUGGUUCCUGUCCUGGGCCAACAGAAGCUCACCUGUUCUCCAGGACCAGACCUGCCCUUCUGGCUGGGGCCCAGACCCAGGCCCUGGGAGGCCGUGCCCCCCACCUGCCCUGGCCCCAAAGAAGCUGCCCUGGCACCUGUCCCCCUUCCCUGGCCUGGAUGUGGGGCGAGACUGAGCCACGGGGGAGAGGGAACCCAUACCUGCUGCUGCUUCCCAUCUUGCUAACCCUUAACCAUGUCCCAAGAGCUCCCAAAGCCUGAGACCAGGGCCAUGUGGCCCCAACUCCCCGCCUGGCCCUGCCAUUGCGAGUACGUGUUAUUUAUUACCUGGAGGCCUGUCCAGUCCCCACCCUGUGCCCAUAAAGCAUUGUUUACACCCGUG
This is an RNA transcript of Loxodonta africana (African savanna elephant), 1301 nucleotides long. It is a transcript of the gene named RAB4B, member RAS oncogene family, with no coding region annotated. The transcript is spliced from 9 exons. The record is from RefSeq and is a predicted model, not a curated record. NCBI's taxonomy places the organism in Eukaryota, Metazoa, Chordata, Mammalia, Proboscidea, Elephantidae.